This 440-nucleotide ribosomal RNA is filed under the name uncultured bacterium. Its description in RNAcentral is "partial 16S ribosomal RNA". It matches the Rfam family "Bacterial small subunit ribosomal RNA", at positions 338 to 795 of the family's 1533-position model. The record is from RNAcentral.
CCUACGGGAGGCAGCAGUGGGGGAUAUUGCACAAUGGGGGAAACCCUGAUGCAGCGACGCCGCGUGUGGGAAGACGGUCCUCUGGAUUGUAAACCACUGUCCCCAGGGACGAAGAUGACGGUACCUGGGGAGGAAGCUCCGGCUAACUACGUGCCAGCAGCCGCGGUAAUACGUAGGGAGCAAGCGUUGUCCGGAAUUACUGGGUGUAAAGGGAGCGUAGGCGGGAUGGCAAGUUGGGUGUUAAAUCUACCGGCUCAACUGGUAGUCGCACUCAAAACUGCUAUUCUUGAGUGAAGUAGAGGCAGGCGGAAUUCCUAGUGUAGCGGUGAAAUGCGUAGAUAUUAGGAGGAACACCAGUGGCGAAGGCGGCUUACUGGACUGUAAAUGACGCUGAGGCUCGAAAGCGUGGGGAGCAAACAGGAUUAGAUACCCCAGUAGUC